RNAcentral lists this ribosomal RNA (251 nucleotides) under uncultured bacterium. Its description in RNAcentral is "partial 16S ribosomal RNA". It matches the Rfam family "Bacterial small subunit ribosomal RNA", at positions 524 to 776 of the family's 1533-position model. The record is from RNAcentral.
UACGUAGGGUGCGAGCGUUGUCCGGAAUACUGGGCGUAAAGCGUGCGCAGGCGGUGAUGUAAGACAGAUGUGAAAUCCCCGGGCUCAACCUGGGAACUGCAUUUGUGACUGCAUCGCUGGAGUACGGCAGAGGGGAUGGAAUUCCGCGUGUAGCAGUGAAAUGCGUAGAUAUGCGGAGGAACACCGAUGGCGAAGGCAAUCCCCUGGGCCUGUACUGACGCUCAUGCACGAAAGCGUGGGGAGCAAACAGG